This 321-nucleotide ribosomal RNA is filed under the name uncultured bacterium. RNAcentral's name for it is "bacterial SSU rRNA". It matches the Rfam family "Bacterial small subunit ribosomal RNA", at positions 773 to 1090 of the family's 1533-position model. The record is from RNAcentral.
ACGUAAUAGAUACCCGGGUAGUCCACGCCCUAAACGAUGUCUACUAGUUGUGGUGGAGUAAAUCCAUGAGUAAACGCAGCUAAACGCGUGAAGUAGACCGCCUGGGGAGUACGGUCGCAAGAUUAAACUCAAAGGAUUGACGGGGCCCGCGACAAGCGGUGGAUUAUGUGGAUUAAUUCGAUGCAACGCGAAAAACCUUACCUGGCCUUGACAUGCCACUAACGAAGCAGAGAUGCAUUAGGUGCCCGUAAGGGAAAGUGGACUACAGGUGCUGCAUGGCUGUCGUCAGCUCGUGUCGUGAGAUGUUGGGUUAAGUCCCGC